This 253-nucleotide ribosomal RNA is filed under the name uncultured bacterium. Its description in RNAcentral is "partial 16S ribosomal RNA". It matches the Rfam family "Bacterial small subunit ribosomal RNA", at positions 524 to 776 of the family's 1533-position model. The record is from RNAcentral.
GACGAAGGGGGCUAGCGUUGUUCGGAAUUACUGGGCGUAAAGCGCGUGUAGGCGGUUGUCCAAGUUGGAUGUGAAUGCCUUGAGCUCAACUCAAGAAAUGCAUUCAGGACUGGAUGACUAGAGGACCGGAGAGGAUAGUGGAAUUCCCAGUGUAGUGGUGAAAUACGUAGAGAUUGGGAAGAACACCAGUGGCGAAGGCGGCUAUCUGGACGGUUUCUGACGCUAAGACGCGAAAGCGUGGGGAGCAAACAGG